RNAcentral lists this long non-coding RNA (932 nucleotides) under Nicotiana benthamiana. RNAcentral's name for it is "long non-coding RNA (NBEN_LNC037901)". Lineage: Eukaryota; Viridiplantae; Streptophyta; Magnoliopsida; Solanales; Solanaceae. The record is from RNAcentral.
CACCAGCAACGGCACGGAGGAUGUUAGCACCAGCACCCUUGAACAGAGAUUUGGCACCCUCAUUCUUAAGGAUCUGGGAGAAGGCGUCAAAUGAGCUCUUGUACUUCACAGCCUCACCAGAUGUCAUCAUCAUUCUUCUUCUAACAGUGUCAAUUGGGUAGGAUGCAAGACCAGCACCAUUGGUAAUAAGCCACCCAAGAGCAAAGCUAGCAAAGAAACUAUCCUGUAAACAUCAAGAGAUUAACCAAGGUCAAUAAUAACUUUAGGUCAAUAAUAACUCCUAAUAAAAUGAAGUCAUAAACCCACCAUAAUACCUUAAACUCCAAACUACCAAAGUAACUGGCAACAAAAUUUAAGUAAUGUAAGAAAAUAACUUUCAACAUAUGACAUCAUCAGAGACAAUACCAAAGGAGCACAUCACUAACCUGCAUGUUUCCAGUCAAGAGCACUGGCUUCAAGGAGUCGUACAUUCCGAAGUACAAACCACGGUACACAAUGAUACCAACACAUGAAAUGUUGAACCCACGGUACAAUCCAGCAAUUCCAUCAGAUGCAAGUGUCUUCUUGUAGACAUCGACCAAACCGUUGAACUGUCUCCCACCUCCUUUCUUUGCAGCCUUGGCAUCAUUUGCAAGACGAGUACGAGCAUAGUCAAGGGAGUAAACAAAGAGCAAAGAAGAUGAUGCAAGUGUCUUCUUGUAGACAUCGAUCAAACCAUUAAACUGUCUCCCACCUCCCUUCUUUGCAGCCUUGGCAUCAUUUGCAAGACGAGUACGAGCAUAGUCAAGGGAGUAAACAAAGAGCAAAGAAGAAGCACCAGCAGCACCACCAGAUGCAAGGUUGCCUGCAAACCACUUCCAGUAACCAUCACGGUCCUUCUUGAAGUUGAAGAGCCUCUUGAAGUAGUCCUUAAAUGCAAAGUUCAAGGCCUG